Molecule: transfer RNA, 66 nt
Filed under: Allorhynchium sp. YN
Lineage: Eukaryota; Metazoa; Arthropoda; Insecta; Hymenoptera; Vespidae
Description: tRNA-Asp
Source: RNAcentral
AAAGAAUUAGUUAAUAUAUAACAUUUAAAUGUCAUUUAAAAAUUAUUUUUUUAAAAAUAUUCUUUU